GGUAAUACCCAGUUUUUUCUUGACUCUUCAAAGGUCUUGGAAUAAGGGGUGGGUAAGGACGGUGCCAGCCGCCGCGGUAAUACCGGCGCCUCAAGUGGUAGUCGCUUUUAUUGGGCCUAAAACGUCCGUAGCCGGUCUGGUGCAUUCGUGGGUAAAUCAACCCGCUCAACGGGUUGAAUUCUGCGAGCACGGCCAGACUUGGGACCGGGAGAGGUGUGGGGUACUCUCAGGGUAGGGGUAAAAUCCUGUCAUCCUGAGAGGACCACCUGUUGCGAAGGCGCCACACUAGAACGGAUCCGACGGUCAGGGACGAAACCUAGGGGCACGAACCGGAUUAGAUACCCGGGUAGUCCUAGGUGUAAACGCUGUGGACUUGAUGUUGGGGGCGCUCCGAGCGCUCUCAGUGUCGAAGCGAAGGUGAUAAGUCCACUGCCUGGGGAGUACGGUCGCAAGGCUGAAACUUAAAGGAAUUGGCGGGGGAGCACUGCAACCUGAGGAUUGUGCGGUUUAAUUGGACUCAACGCCGGGA
RNAcentral lists this ribosomal RNA (529 nucleotides) under uncultured Candidatus Poseidoniales archaeon. RNAcentral's name for it is "bacterial SSU rRNA". It matches the Rfam family "Archaeal small subunit ribosomal RNA", at positions 392 to 923 of the family's 1478-position model. Lineage: Archaea; Methanobacteriati; Thermoplasmatota; Candidatus Poseidoniia; Candidatus Poseidoniales. The record is from RNAcentral.